Molecule: ribosomal RNA, 548 nt
Filed under: uncultured bacterium
Lineage: Bacteria
Description: bacterial SSU rRNA
Rfam family: Bacterial small subunit ribosomal RNA
Source: RNAcentral
UAGGGAAUCUUCGGCAAUGGGGGGAACCCUGACCGAGCAACGCCGCGUGAGUGAAGAAGGUUUUCGGAUCGUAAAGCUCUGUUGUUAAAGAAGAACGAGUGUGAGAAUGGAAAGUUCAUACUGUGACGGUACUUAACCAGAAAGGGACGGCUAACUACGUGCCAGCAGCCGCGGUAAUACGUAGGUCCCGAGCGUUGUCCGGAUUUAUUGGGCGUAAAGCGAGCGCAGGCGGUUAGAUAAGUCUGAAGUUAAAGGCAGUGGCUCAACCAUUGUAGGCUUUGGAAACUGUUUAACUUGAGUGCAGAAGGGGAGAGUGGAAUUCCAUGUGUAGCGGUGAAAUGCGUAGAUAUAUGGAGGAACACCGGUGGCGAAAGCGGCUCUCUGGUCUGUAACUGACGCUGAGGCUCGAAAGCGUGGGGAGCGAACAGGAUUAGAUACCCUGGUAGUCCACGCCGUAACGAUGAGUGCUAGGUGUUAGGUCCUUUCCGGGACUUAGUGCCGCAGCUAACGCAUUAAGCACUCCGCCUGGGGAGUACGACCGCAAGGUU